CCCAAACUGCCCGGAGCCUGAAGGGGAGGCUGAGAUUGUUCUGGGAUGCAGACAGCUUUUUUAUAAGUCUGUCACAUAGAAGAGAAGACGAAGAGAAGAUUCUGUUCUGAAUUUCUGGCACAGGAUCACCAUGGGUGACUCAGAGACCUGAAUGAGGCUGGAGGGCAUAAAAGAGAGCCUCUUCACACUUCAUCACUUACAAGCUCCUGGGAAAUCAGUGACCGUUUGGAGAAGGAGAGAAGAUGCCUUCCCAGACGUUGGUAGUCACCUUGGCGGUACUGUUGGAAGCUUGCUGCAUUAAUGCUUAUCCUGUCUACCCUGAAAGCAAUGGUGUCCAAGGAAAUAAAAAUGCUCUCCAGGAAGAUGUCCCUGCCCGCCUGGUGGAAGACCUCAAGACAGUUCUCUGGAAGAUAGCGGCAGUGAGUGAGCUCCAGAGCCAGGGAUUUACCCAGGCAGACCAGGUCCCUCAACCCAACAAGAGAGCUUGCUUC
RNAcentral lists this long non-coding RNA (491 nucleotides) under Apteryx owenii (little spotted kiwi). Its description in RNAcentral is "lncRNA (ENSAOWG00000016455.1)". The record is from RNAcentral. Lineage: Eukaryota; Metazoa; Chordata; Aves; Apterygiformes; Apterygidae.